This 489-nucleotide ribosomal RNA is filed under the name Triticum aestivum (bread wheat). RNAcentral describes it as "partial small subunit ribosomal RNA". The record is from RNAcentral. Lineage: Eukaryota; Viridiplantae; Streptophyta; Magnoliopsida; Poales; Poaceae.
AUGGUUAGCAUGAUAUGCAACAAAGCCGGUUUCGCAACAUGCAUCACGCUGCAAAGGGGUUUCACAACAUGGGUCGUGCUGGAAAGAGACUUCACAACAUGUGUCACACUGCAAAGGGGUUUCACAACAUGCGUCACACUGGAAAGGUGUUUCGGAACAUGCACCAUUUUGCAAGGAGACUUCACAACAUGUGUCACGCUAAAAAAGGGUUUCACAACAUGCGCCAUGUUCCAAAGGGGUUUCGCAACAUGCACCGUGUUGCAAGGAGACUUCACAACAUGCACCAUGUUUCAAAAAGGGAGCCAUGAUGGGAUGCUCGAUGGCUUCAUAACAUGUGGUGUGUUGCAAAGGGGCUUGACAACAUGUGUCGUCUUGCAAUCCUAUGAGCUCACAGACCCAUAUCUCCGCAACAAGGAUGAUGUUUUAGAACCAAGCCUCUGCAACAAUAUUUUAGAAACAUGCUUCUGCAACAACGUCAAUGUUUCAUAA